GGCGACAUGGCCGAGCGGUCUAAGGCGCUAGAAUCAGGUUUCUUUACCUAUCUAGUCUUUCGGGGCGUGAGUUCGAAUCUCACUGUCGUCA
Non-coding RNA from Termitomyces sp. T159_Od127, 91 nucleotides. The record is from the annotation of a GenBank genome assembly. NCBI's taxonomy places the organism in Eukaryota, Fungi, Basidiomycota, Agaricomycetes, Agaricales, Lyophyllaceae.